CUUCCACGAAAUGAUCUGCUUAUACAAUUUAUUUCUUUUCAUGAUUAUUGGUUCAAAAGAACUUACCAAAUGAAACAUCUUUUCGGCAAUAUUUGGUUGUGUGAUUUUAGUGUAUCAUACUUGAUCCAGAACGGCCAAAUUUGCCUGUCUAUCAAAAACUUCUUUUUAAAAAUCUAUUGUUAUACUUUCAUUACCCUCUUUUUCAAAUUGUUUUGUCUAAUAUUUGGCUGCUGCCAUUCUAGCUCUGAACUGAAUCCCUAUGAAUACCUUAUCCGCAUACAUAACAUUGAUGGGAGUGGACAUCCUGUAACCUACUGCCGCGCGUAACCCCGCUGAUUCUAUUUUCCUUAUUUGUUCCUGCAGUUCUACGCUUGUGUUAAGUGACGAGAAAAUUGGAGCUCCAUAAUCUAACACCGAAGAAACCAGUGCUCUUACUAAAUUCAGUGCCCAGUGUUGACUAAUUCCCCGGCUACCCCAACAUAAAUAGUUUAUAACCUUAACUCUUUUUUUCGCUCUGCAUACGAGAUCUUUUAUGUGUGUACGGAACGUUAAAUUUUGAUCUAUCGUGAUCCCAAGAAAUUUGGCUUCAGGAACGGAUUCUAGUAUUUUCAUCGUCUACAUUUCAUCUGCUUCGAGGAUUGAUAUUGCUGUAUUACUUUAAAAUUUAUACGCAAAAAACGACAAAAAUCAAGAUUUUCUUGGAUUAAAUUGUUUAUAAGAAGAAAACGGAACAGAGUUGAGAGUGAAAAACAUAUACCUAUUCAGCUACGCAUCCCUUUUAUUAAGUACUUUUGUCACCAAAACGCUGUUUUAAUUCUCUACCGAUUGGCCUAGUUGUAUUGUUGACGAUUGGAGGAAAGUUGUUUUUGUGACGUAUCUCGUGCCUGUAUCGGGACAAAUGAUGAUGCUGGAAAAUUCGUUUGGAAAAUAAUGAAUGAAAAGUUUUAUGUAGGCUGUUUGAAGUUUAAGGGGUUAGUCGCAGUCAGGAAAAUGGAAACGGACAGUUUCUUGUGUGUUUUUUUUAAGGUAUUAAAUAAUAAUUUUUAUUAAUGAAAUGUACAUAUAUUACAAAGUAUGUCUUAAAGAAUUAUAAAAGAAUUUUUGUUUUAAGAGAAGGUUAAUUCAUUUCGUCAUAACAGGCGAUGGCGUGGGUGGCCACUUGCUUUGCGGUGAGCAAGAUUUCUUCAAACUGGCGCACCUGGAAACAAAACUAAAGGAAGAUUUAGAAAAUAUAUUAGACUAACGGGUCCCUGACGAAGGAUUUUUUAUUUUCUUGUAUACUUUUUUUUUAUCCUGUAUUGAAUCGCUUAAUUUUAGUGAAAAAAUUGAAAAUCAACUUCAAAUGUAGGCCAUCUUGUUUUAAAUUAAUUUUUUCCAAAAUCCUUCGUUCAGGGACCCGCUAGACUAAUCUAUUUUUGAAAUCUACCUUUGUUUUUGUUUUCAGGUAAACCAGUGUAGAGAAAUCUUGCUCACCGCAAACCUACGUUUUUAAAUCAUUGUCUACGUCAUCGCCUGUUAUGACGAUAUAAAUUAAACGUUUCUUAAAACAGAAAAUGUUUUUUAGUUCUUUAAAACAUGCUUUGUAAUAUACUUAACUGCUACUUAUGCAAAUUAUUAUUUAAUAACUAAAAAAAAAUCACAAAGAAAUGUCGUUGUUCCUCUUCCUGACUGUGACUAACCCCUUAAGCAGAAAUACCCACAAUCGUAUGUGUGUGAAAUUGUAUAAAGUUGUGUGUAGUUCUCAUCGUAGCAAAUUAGUACAAAAUUAUUUAAUGAAUAAUCAGUUAGAAGUAUUAGAAGUAACGGUUCCUUCGAUCGUAAAGUAAAUUUCGGGGCAUCGACAAGUCUUCGAGGACCCCUAAACGCAGGCAUGCCCUCCACCCGGGCUUCAAGGGGGCUGGCCAAAGGGGACCUGGAGGUGUCGUCGCGAACGCCGUCAGGAUCAAUGAGCAGCCUGGAGGAAGGUA
Long non-coding RNA from Hylaeus volcanicus, 1967 nucleotides. RefSeq lists it as uncharacterized. NCBI's taxonomy places the organism in Eukaryota, Metazoa, Arthropoda, Insecta, Hymenoptera, Colletidae. The transcript has 3 exons. The record is from RefSeq and is a predicted model, not a curated record.